RNAcentral lists this long non-coding RNA (2320 nucleotides) under Chlamydomonas reinhardtii. RNAcentral describes it as "long non-coding RNA (CREI_LNC000462)". Lineage: Eukaryota; Viridiplantae; Chlorophyta; Chlorophyceae; Chlamydomonadales; Chlamydomonadaceae. The record is from RNAcentral.
AGCCUUCUUCCAGCCGUUACAGGCAGACCCAGACUUGACACGCCAAUAUACGCACAACCAAAUCAUCAGGUGAACUCUAAUUACUGACUCCUGUUUCCCUCGCUCUACGCGAGCCUUUGUAAAGAACCGUGUGCCCUUCUCGCUCCUCUGUCCCUCUGCCCCGGUUCCCUUGGCCAUAGCGCCCAUCACAGCCCGCAGGGCUCUCUCACGGCAGCUGGACAGCCGUCUGCGCACAGCCUCUCCCUCGCCCCUCUCUCUCUCACAGGCUCGCAGGAACCACGCCAAGGCCCCGGUCGCCCCAGUGCACCCCGCCUUUCCCUCGUCUCCCCAGCGGGCGAGUGGAUUACCCACGAGCGCAGUACUCGUGGACGAACGUGCGACAGCCGUGUCCUGUCACCUGCGCCCUGCAUCGCCUCUCCCCUCUUCCCAACCUCUCCCGCAGACGCUCCUUCUCCCGCAGCGUGCCGCCCCACUGCAGCACGACCACGGCAGCUCUCUGGCCUUCCCCAGCGAGCGAGUGAAUAACACGAGCGAGCCCUCGUGUGCCUACGUGUGACGGCCCUGCCUGUCACGGGCUCCUCUCUUUCUUUCUCCUCUCUCCCUCUCUCUACCCGCCGCAGCGUGUCCUCCCACGUGCAGCACGGCCCCUGCCUCCGUUCACGCAGACUUCCGCUGUAAGACGCAUCUCGAUUAACUCAACAACGCUUCCGCACUUAUCUCUCAACAGCUAAAACAGCCUCCAUCACACACAUACGGUAUCGUAAUCAGCAAGCUUCCGCUCUACUGUCGCUUCCGCAGCCUCAGCCGAGUGACGCACGCGCUCUGUCCUCAUACAGGCACGUGUUACAGGUUAUACAACGAGCACAAUUAUGUCGUGGACGCGUUCCGCGUAGGCCCGGCGGGCUGCCUCCACACAGGGGAUCAGUCUGCUCGCUCUGAGCACAAUCAAGCAAUGUACUGUUGCGCCUAUCUGGGGUAUCAACAGACAGCGCCGCUUCCAGGCAUCACUGUCCGCUAAAAAUUGGGCGAUACAAGUGUUCUGUCAGUGGUAGUGCGGCCGGUCCGCCUUUAUGCCUCACAACGCCUGCCCAAGUUCCACCCACACGGAAAACCAAAGCGCUGCGGCACUGCGAGAGGUCGCCGCGCGGUACUCACUCCUGGCGGCACGUUAGCCCUGCUGCCUGCUGCGGCUGCGGAGUAGCCGCAAAACCCCGGCAUCAACGGCUCCAAAACCCAAGCCUCCACCAACACGGCCCAAGCCAGCCUCCACGUGCUGGCCCAGCUGGUCCAUCCCGCGCCGCAGAUUCUCACUUCCCACCUCCAUCCCGAGGCGUAGCUUGUCGCUUCCCACCUCCACCCCGCGCCGCAGAUGCACAGCUCCUUCCACCACACCAAGCCGCAGGUGCACAGCUCCUUGCACCACGCCGAGCCGUAGAUGCCAGGCCGCGACCAUGACAGCUAUCGCCCAGAAGAGCGGUCCCCAUGCUGACGAAUGCAAUAUGCUCUGCAUGCAUUGGACACAGCGCAGUAGAGGGUGAUUCCGUGAACUGUCGAACUGGCCUAACUACAUGUUUGAAUGGCGUUCGUGAACCAAGUAUGCAAUCCAUUUGGUUCUUUGCUAAAGAUNNNNNNNNNNNNNNNNNNNNNNNNNNNNNNNNNNNNNNNNNNNNNNNNNNNNNNNNNNNNNNNNNNNNNNNNNNNNNNNNNNNNNNNNNNNNNNNNNNNNCAACCCAUACAUGUCGCUGUCCGCGGUGUGCGUUGACUUCCAACAUCCUAACUCAGCUUCCAGCGCUCAUUGCACAUGGACAUACACAACUGGCGAUGCACCCAAACCGAAAGGCCCCGUGCGGGUAUGGAAGCCGCGCUCGCUGCUCUGUCCCUGAAUAUGCCUCACAACGCCUGCCCAAGUUCCACCCACACGGAAAACCAAAGCGCUGCGGCACUGCGAGAGGUCGCCGCGCGGUACUCACUCCUGGCGGCACGUUAGCCCUGCUGCCUGCUGCGGCUGCGGAGUAGCCGCAAAACCCCGGCAUCAACGGCUCCAAAACCCAAGCCUCCACCAACACGGCCCAAGCCAGCCUCCACGUGCUGGCCCAGCUGGUCCAUCCCGCGCCGCAGAUUCUCACUUCCCACCUCCAUCCCGAGGCGUAGCUUGUCGCUUCCCACCUCCACCCCGCGCCGCAGAUGCACAGCUCCUUCCACCACACCAAGCCGCAGGUGCACAGCUCCUUGCACCACGCCGAGCCGUAGAUGCCAGGCCGCGACCAUGACAGCUAUCGCCCAGAAGAGCGGUCCCCAUGCUGACGAAUGCAAUAUGCUC